AAGUCGUAACAAGGUUUCCGUAGGUGAACCUGCGGAAGGAUCAUUAACACGUAUCCAACGUUAAACCCCCCGUGAACCUUCAGUGCGCUCGCACUUUCUUAGAAAAGGUAGCAAUCAGGGAUUCAGGGACUUCUGCGUAGACUGUGCUUGAGCGUGAGGCAAGUGGCCUGGCAUUCCUCUGCUUGUUGGUGUCUGAAAGUGUCACCAGCUCUGUACGAAUGGCGCAGUCACGAUCGCUAGAGGCCGACACGGCCGGCGACCGGGUCACUGGGCGCGAGCCCCCCUCGUCACCUUUGCAUGAAAACGGGCCUGCGCUUAAUUGUGCGGCCACCAAACUCGAACAACUGUUAACAAUGGAUAUCUUGGUUCUC
RNAcentral lists this unclassified non-coding RNA (371 nucleotides) under fungal sp. RNAcentral describes it as "partial internal transcribed spacer region". The stretch from base 1 to 46 matches the Rfam family "Eukaryotic small subunit ribosomal RNA", at positions 1786 to 1831 of the family's 1831-position model. The record is from RNAcentral. Lineage: Eukaryota; Fungi.